UGGGACACGCCUCCCCAACGAGGUGCAACUAUCUGAGAGGGUAGCG
This 46-nucleotide non-coding RNA is filed under the name marine eukaryotic metagenome. Its description in RNAcentral is "serC leader". It matches the Rfam family "serC leader", at positions 4 to 49 of the family's 52-position model. From Rfam's summary of the family: This family is a putative regulatory RNA structure that is found upstream of the serC-serA operon in some alpha-proteobacteria. The final stem of the structure overlaps the ribosome binding site of the serC reading frame. The record is from RNAcentral.